UUGUUUUUACGUUUUUAUUUAAAAAUAUAUGUUUAAAAUGUUAUCUUUUACUAUGUUUUAUUUAAUCAAUGAAUUUUAUCUUUUAAUAAAAAAAUAUUUAAUAUUUUUUUUAAGAACCCUUAAUUAAGAUAUAUGCAUAGGAAGACAUAAAUGUUCUGGUCUCUUAACUAAGUCUCUACCUCACAAUUACUACUUAAAAGUAUUAAAAAAGAAAUAAGAGAUUCUAAAGGAAUCUUUGGAAUAAUGAUGCUCUAAAGACACCAUUAUUUAUCGCAGUUUCUUAAAAACGUCUUUUAGAGUAGUUAGUAAUUAAAAAAAAGAAAAUAGAAAUUAAAGGAAGAAACAUAUCUUAAUUAGGGAAGGAAGAAACGUUUAUUAUUCGACACGUGUUGAUAGGAGAAGAAAACGUCUCUUCUCUCUCUCUCUCUCUCUCUCUCUCUCUGUAUCAAAUCCCUGAAACGAGCACUUGAUCUCUUCUCCCCCGUCCAUGGCCAAUUCCCUCCUCCUGAUGCCGAAGCCGAAGAAAAAUCAUUCAAAAGCAAAGCGGAAAGGAAGAUUACAAUCAAAGACUCACUUCCUUCACUCUAUUACAGAUUCUUCCUCUGUCAGCACGAUUCAUUUUGGCUCAAGCUCGAAUCAGGGUUUAGUUUGAUAAAAUCGAUUUCAGUGAGAAGAAUCUGGUGAGAGGAACCGUGGAGGAUUCGUAAGGAGGGAAAGCUGAAGAGUCGGAGGGUAGCUAGAAGGAGAUUGUUGAGUUGGAUAUGGCUUCUCCUUGCUUCUUUCUCUGUUGCAGGAUUGGUUCUAUUCAUGGUUCAGCAUCGUCAUCAACAACAAGAUCCAUCUCAGCUAACACUUGUAUGUCUUCCUCUCUGGUCUUAGUUCAAAGUUUUUUUUUAGUUUCUUAAAAGCAAUGUAUUGAUUGCUGAGAUUGAGUUUGGCUCUAAGUUCUAACGAUCAUCUGCUCAUGAAAAAAGUGUUGAUCUUUGUAGUUUGGGCUGACGAAAGAUUGGUGUCAUUGUAGCCUAAUAUUUUUUUUAAGCUGAAAAUGGUUUAUUAGGUUGGUCUCUCUGUAUCUAUGGAAUCAGUGCAAGUUGAACUCUUUCCACAACGGGCAUGACCAAAUCUUAGUGUAGUUUCUUAUUGACAUUGCUUGUGGGUUUGGGGUUUGAAUCGACGGAGAACAACGACGGUUGCUGCAUGUGUCUUGUUUGAAUCGAGAGGUAAAGCUAUGUUAAUUUGUUUUCUUGUUUGAAUCUUUCAAUUUUGCAUGUGUUAGAUUCGGAUAAACGAAAGCCUUAAUAACAUCACAUAAUCAAUUAAUAGAACUUGUAUUUGGAUAGAUGUUGUUGGAGCAAAAGGUUAGGAUCUCAGAUAAUUUCAGUUUGUAUUGUGAUUGUGAUUGUGAUUGUGUAGGAAGACUUGUAAAUCCAAGAGACAUGAGCCUUUGUUUAAGUUGAUUUGUUUGUUGGUUGGUGUAUUAGAAGUUGUUGUCAUGGGGUUAUUGUUCUGGUUAUCUUUAAGUUUGUGUUUCUUGUUUCAUGUUCUUGUUUCGUGAAAGAGUUAAUGUAUUACCAAAUCUUUUGUUUCUUGUUCUUGUUAUUUUUAAUGAUUGUAUGAUUGUGUAUUCACAAACUUGUAUAUUGUAUUGUUGUGGUCACGUUGAAAAUGUUUCACGGACAAGAAAUGAAAGACCUUUGUAAUGAUUGUAUGAUUGUGUAUUCACAAACUUGUAUAAAUAAUAUCUUGUAAUGAAAGUGUAUUCACAAGCC
Molecule: long non-coding RNA, 1769 nt
Organism: Brassica napus (rape)
Lineage: Eukaryota; Viridiplantae; Streptophyta; Magnoliopsida; Brassicales; Brassicaceae
Exons: 2
Source: RefSeq, a predicted model, not a curated record